Molecule: ribosomal RNA, 552 nt
Filed under: Microascus alveolaris
Lineage: Eukaryota; Fungi; Ascomycota; Sordariomycetes; Microascales; Microascaceae
Description: eukaryotic LSU rRNA
Rfam family: Eukaryotic large subunit ribosomal RNA
Source: RNAcentral
GCGGAGGAAAAGAAACCAACAGGGAUUGCCCCAGUAACGGCGAGUGAAGCGGCAACAGCUCAAAUUUGAAAUCUGGUCCCCCCGCGGGGCCCGAGUUGUAAUUUGAAGAGGAUGCUUCUGGCAAGGUGCCGUCCGAGUUCCCUGGAACGGGACGCCGCAGAGGGUGAGAGCCCCGUACGGUCGGACGCCGAGCCUCUGUGAAGCUCCUUCGACGAGUCGAGUAGUUUGGGAAUGCUGCUCAAAAUGGGAGGUAAACCCCUUCUAAAGCUAAAUACCGGCCAGAGACCGAUAGCGCACAAGUAGAGUGAUCGAAAGAUGAAAAGCACUUUGAAAAGAGAGUUAAAAAGCACGUGAAAUUGUUGAAAGGGAAGCGCUUGCGACCAGACUCGCGCCCGUCGGAUCAGCCGUCGCUCGUCGGCGGCGCACUCCGGCGGGCUCGGGCCAGCAUCAGUUCGCCUCGGGGGGAGAAAGGCGGCGGGAAUGUGGCUCUACGGAGUGUUAUAGCCCGCCGCGUAAUACCCCCGGGCGGACUGAGGACCGCGCGUAUGCAAU